This is a long non-coding RNA of Rhododendron vialii, 915 nucleotides long. RefSeq lists it as uncharacterized. Lineage: Eukaryota; Viridiplantae; Streptophyta; Magnoliopsida; Ericales; Ericaceae. The transcript has 2 exons. The record is from RefSeq and is a predicted model, not a curated record.
GGAUAGACACGCACUUUCCGACUUUAAAUAUGGUUCCUAACCCAGACUACACAAAAGACCUUCCAUUGGCACGACGUUGGUAUCCGCGUUGGGAGGCUAUCCCUUAUGAUACAUUCUACUAGGACUUAUUGGACAACUUGCGCACAGAUGAGGUGAAUUUUGACCCGUACAAUACCCGCAGGCGAGUUGUCCCAGAUAUUGCCUUCUACACCGGUCCGAUUCGUUACAUGGAUGACGUACCUUCCUGACAUAAUGUUGAGGCAGUUUGGUCUACAAUAGGUAAAACCCGCAGAUCCUAUAGCACCCAGGCAUGCAAAGAGAGGGCAAUGCUCCUACAAAGUUGAUUACGACUAGGCAGCCGGAUUUUGGGUUAGCUCUCAGUGCCACUUCGUGCUUCUAGAUAUUCGAGUCCGUAUAGGAUCUAGUAGGAGUGUCCCGUCGUGUAGUCCGAAAUACCUUCCGUGGUUUAGGAGUGUUGCGCACCCGAGGGUUGGAUGUGAUAAGUCAUCUGUUCGGGGACGUGCACGCAAGAAGGAGGUACUCACUGUGUUGGAGGUGGUAGACAGGGCUGUGGGCGAUACUAAACUUGGAGCUGUGGAGUUGCGUGCGACACUGCAGGAGGUACAGGCCAUUCUACGACUGAAAGUUGUUAUUUAUAGGAAGCGAGGUGUUGGGGCUUCAAGCUGAGGGUAGAGCUAGGGUUUAUGAUGUUAAACAGUCAUUGGUUGUAUAUUUUGGUUGGCGGACAGAAAAGCUUUCUAUCUGUGGAUGUUUAAGGAUGUCAGAUAUUUGAUAUUUAGAAAUGUUGGGCUAUGAUGUCCGACAUAUUUUGUUUGGUUUAUGAUGUAAAUUGUGGUUGCAUGUGUUUUUGUAGAUGUCGACACCAACAAAAUCUAGUCCCUAAAAUUCAGUCUA